ACGGGGGGAGCAAGCGUUGUUCGGAUUUACUGGGCGUAAAGGGCGCGUAGGCGGUCAGCACAAGUCAGUUGUGAAAUCUCCGAGCUUAACUCGGAAAGGUCAACUGAUACUGUGCGACUAGAGUGCAGAAGGGGCAACUGGAAUUCUCGGUGUAGCGGUGAAAUGCGUAGAUAUCGAGAGGAACACCUGCGGCGAAGGCGGCAUCCUGGACCAAUAUUGACGCUGAGGAGCGAAAGCUAGGGGAGCAAACGGGA
This 254-nucleotide ribosomal RNA is filed under the name uncultured prokaryote. RNAcentral's name for it is "partial 16S ribosomal RNA". It matches the Rfam family "Bacterial small subunit ribosomal RNA", at positions 525 to 777 of the family's 1533-position model. The record is from RNAcentral.